CGAGAACCUGCAGAGAUCACGUGGUGCAGUGAAAAGCUGGCGCAUGCCCAUAGAGGCGCGGCUUCUGCCACCAGCCGGCUCUACCCAGCUUCAGCGGCUCUGAGCUUUACAGGCCCCUGCAGUUGGCUGCCCAAGUCUUAGAAGGUUGGUUGUGUGGAGCCUUUCGUGUAUCAGGAAAACUUCUUUUACACUCCAGAGUCGUCUGUCUCUGACCAAAUGAAAAUCACAGAGGAGACAGAUUUUAAAUGAGAGGAAACGAAGGGUUUAAACUGAGCUGAACACGAAUUCUAAGUAAAGAAGAAGGCUGUGAGCUUGAAACUGUGUGCUCUUUCUUAACCAUGGGAGCCCUGCUGAGCACAUUGGGAAAUGGCCAUUCUUAGGCCUGGUUUCACAACAUCACCAGGUCUUCCUAUGUUUCCAGCAUUGAGCGAGGCUCUGGAAUUGGGGAAGGAAUCACAAAAAUGCUCAUGAUCUAGAGGCUGAGCUGGAGAAACAAACAAAAGUGCUGCAGACUGAUCAUUUCUGGAAGCAAGUUCUGCAUAAAGGGAAGAGCUGCUGCAACUCUGACAUCCCUUCACGUGGUGAGAAUGCUUAUAGGAGCCUGGAUGCCCUGGCAGCUUCCACAGGAGAGAGGUACAUGGUGACCCCAGUGUCAACAAAUGGAAUUCACACGGCAGAGAUGCUUGGACUUCAGAGGCCUGUCUCAGCUGGACUGGGCUCUAGCUCUGGCCAGAAGCUUGCCAGCCACAGGCCGACGGAGUAUAUGGCAUAGGGUCUGGAAUGGGGGGAGGCCCAGGUUAAAAUCUCAGCUUUCAUACCUACGGGCUUUGUGACUUUAGUCUGUUUAUAGCCUCUUUAAGCUUCCAUGUUCAUAUCUGUAAAGUGAGGAUGAUGAUACCACUCACCUCCCAGCAUUGUUAUGAGGAUUAACAGAGAUAACACAUGUUAAGUGCUUAGUGUAGCCCUUAGCAUAUAGUAACUAUAUAAUGAAUGUUCACAAAAGAAAAAACAAAGCAAAACAAAACGAAAUUCAGUCAAUCAAAUAACAACAAAAAUAGGACAAUA
This is a long non-coding RNA of Felis catus (domestic cat), 1065 nucleotides long. RefSeq lists it as uncharacterized. Lineage: Eukaryota; Metazoa; Chordata; Mammalia; Carnivora; Felidae. The transcript has 5 exons. The record is from RefSeq and is a predicted model, not a curated record.